GUAGUCUAAAUCUCUAAAUAAACUUAUUCGUAGAAAUACAAUUAAAAAAUAAGUUAAAAGAGAUCAAGAAACCAAAUUGAGAAGAUGAUGAGGAAGAAAUUGGCAGGAUUUCCACGCGCAAUUCGAGAUUAGGGUUUCUUCCUAUUUUCUUCUGCAGUUCUUCCCUAAUUGGGGCUUUCAUCUCUGACUUUUAACUUCUCUUCCUUACUUUGAAAUUUGUUUCCUUAGUGCUUUGAUCCACUUUCUCAUGCUGCCUGCCUUCUAUUUCUGAAUUUGAAUGAAUAUUUAGAGCAGGUCGUUGAAGAAGGCAUAUAUGGACGAAGGAGAGGGUGGGUUCGGUGAGGGUGUGGAUCAGAUUGAUCAGUUCCAUCGGAACGAGGCCAUUUCGGCCGUUGCUGAUGAUGGUUUCUUGGGCGAAGAUGAGGAUGAAUACGAGGACCUGUAUAACGAUGUUAAUGUUGGGGAGGGGUUCCUUCAGUCGUUGAGGAAGAGCGAUGAUUUGGGAUUCAAGAGGGAGGAGGAACCCAAGAUGGAGCCUCCUGCACCUGUACCACCCAGUUCCGGUGCUUCCAUACCUGGUAUUGGUGGAGGUGCGACUGAAGUUACUGGUUUAGGAGAUGCCGGUGGGCGUACUGUUUCGGAGAGAGUAACAGAGGGUUACAAUCAGAUUCCAGAUUUAAGAACGAAUGAGAUGGCUAUCAGAGGUGGGGUGGGAUCGGGGCCGCCUGUAGGCACCGGAGUUGGGAUCAGAGUUGAAUUAGGGCAAGGGAGCAAAGCCAUCGAGUUGGAGGAGCGAAGUAGUAAUAACGUAGCUGGGCAUCAGGCUCCGCAACAGCAACAGCAACAGCAACAGCAACAGCAACAGCAACAGCAACAGCAACAGCAACAGCAACAGCCACAGCCACAGCCGCAGCCGCAGCCACAGCCACAGCCGCAGCACCAUCACCAACCACCUCAGAGCGGAGUCUUAGGAAAUCCUGGGAGUGUAGAAAAUGAAGGUUUGCUAAGGCAAGGUGGUGGAGUUAAUGUCAAUGGGGUUGGUGGAAACGGGUUCGCUAAUAUCGGGAGUGCAGGGGGAGGUGGCGGUGGAACAAUUUUGUUUGUUGGGGAUUUACAUUGGUGGACUACAGAUGCGGAGCUUGAGGUGGAACUCUGUAAGUAUGGUCCGUUGAAGGAGGUCAAGUUUUAUGACGAGAAAGCCAGUGGAAAAUCAAAAGGCUACUGCCAGGUUGAGUUUUAUGAUUCUUCUGCUGCCACAGCUUGCAAGGAGGGAAUGAAUGGGCAUAUUUUUAAUGGACGUCCCUGUGUAGUUGCAUAUGCAUCACCGUUUAGUGUUAAGAAAAUGGGAGAAGCCCAAGUUAGCAGGAACCAACAGAUAGCCCAAGCUACUAAUCCUCAAGCAAGGAGAGCGCCUAAUGAGGCUGUAGGUAAAAUUGGUGGAAAUAGUAUUGCAACGGGUGGUAACUAUCAAGGUGGUGAUAACAAUAGAGGUUCUGGGAGAGGUAACUGGGGAAGGAGUAAUGCUCAUGGAAUGGGUGGUCGAGGACCAGCUGGCCCAAUGAGGGGUAGGGGUGGUGGGAUGGGUGGCAGAGGUAUAAUGGGAAAUGGUGGAAAUGGAUUUGGCCAAGGAAUUGGUGCUACCCCUCCUUUAUUGCAUCCCCAGUCAAUGAUGGGUCAAGGUUUUGAUCCAUCUUUUGGUGCACCCAUGGGAAGAAUGGGUACAUAUGGUGGUUUUCCUGGAGCCCCAGCUCCCCCUUUCUCUGGAAUUUUGUCAUCCUUUCCUCCUGUCGGGGGUGUUGGCCUUCCUGGUGUAGCUCCUCAUGUGAACCCAGCAUUUUUUGGAAGAGGUAUGCCUAUGAAUGGAAUGGGGAUGAUGCCAACAUCGGGUGUUGAUGGGCCUAAUAUGGGAAUGUGGUCUGAUCCUAGUAUGGGUGGAUGGGGCAGUGAAGAGCAAGGUGGAGGGAGAGCAGGUGAGUCUAGUUAUGGAGAAGAAGCUGGUUCUGACCAGCAUUAUGGUGAAGGCAGUCAUGAAAGAGGGCCAUGGGCAAAUUCUGCGAAGGAGAAAGAUAGAGGCUCUGAAAGGGACUGGUCACAGUCUUCUGAUAGAAGGUAUCGAGAUGAUAGAGAUGUCGGUUAUGAUAGAGAGAGAUCCAAAGAAAAAGAUCCGGGACCUGACCAUGACUGGCCAGAUAGAAGGCCUCGUGAAGAUAGAGAUAUAGGGCGUGAAAGGGAUAAAGAGAGGGAUCGAGAUAGGGAUAGAGAACGAUCCCGAGAUUAUGAGCGUGGCCAUCAUGAACGUGAUCGUGAACGUGAAAGGGAUCGUGACCGUGAUAGGUACAAGGACGACAGGGACAGAUAUUCUGAUCAUCAUAGGUACAGAGACCGGGAACCAGAGCAUGAUGAGGAUUGGGAAAGGGGACGGUCAUCAAGGACUCAUAGUCAUAGCAAGUCCCGUUUAUCACAAGAAGAAGAAAGCCGUUCAAGAUCCAGGGAUGCUGAUUAUGGGAAGAGGCGGAGGCUUACUUCGGAAUAGUUGAACCAGUCAGUGUACAUGCUUUAAACUCUAUAGAGAGCAUGGUCUGAUUUGGUGCAGAAAAUAACUUAAAAGGGCAUUUGAUAGUGAAGAUUUGAUUCAGCGGAACAAAAGUUGGUUCGGGGACAACAACCAGGGACCUUUAAAUUAUCGUCUGCAUAGAGAGAACCCAUGCAUGACAAUGCCUUCUCGCUCUAUUAAUUUGAUAAAGAGACUUCUUGGUUUAAACAGUUCUCACAUUUCUUUUGAAUGGUGUUUCUUCUUGACUUCUUGGCACUUGAUGACAUUGAUAUUCUUGGUUGUAAUGGCUUUAAAAUAUUGCUGGAGUCUCAGUCAUGUCUGAAUGUUAUCGGACAUGUAAUAGCUUACUAUGUUGUUAGAGUAACUUAGCCUGGAGGAUGUUGUGUUGUGCGUUAUUCUGUUUUAUAAGUUGUUGUAUCAUAUAUCCGCACCACUUUUCUUUCCUUUUUUUGUUUUCUUUGAUACCACACCUUAGCCAUUGUACUGUGAAGAAUGUAGAGCUAACCCAUUCUUUUAGAGCUUUCUCUACCCUUCGGAGGUUGUAUGUAUUCUCAUACUUGUAUGUAUCUGUUACCAAUUCACUAGAUGUAGUUCCAUUGGUUGUAUGUACUAAAUUCUUGUAUGUACACGUCCUCAAAUGACUAGAUGCAGUUUCAGAGGAUGUAUAUAACACUAUACUUGUAUGUACGUGUUACCAAUUGAUCAGA
RNA transcript from Cucumis sativus (cucumber), 3261 nucleotides. It is a transcript of the gene named cleavage and polyadenylation specificity factor subunit CG7185-like, with no coding region annotated. Lineage: Eukaryota; Viridiplantae; Streptophyta; Magnoliopsida; Cucurbitales; Cucurbitaceae. The transcript has 3 exons. The record is from RefSeq and is a predicted model, not a curated record.